UGGCGACCGGCGCACGGGUGAGUAACACGUAUCCAACCUGCCGAUAACUCUGGAAUAGCCUUUCGAAGAAAGAUUAAUACCGGAUGGCAUACGAAUAUCGCAUGAUAUUUUUAUUAAAGAAUUUCGGUUAUCGAUGGGGAUGCGUUCCAUUAGUUUGUUGGCGAGGUAACGGCCCACCAAGACAACGAUGGAUAGGGGUUCUGAGAGGAAGGUCCCCCACAUUGGAACUGAGACACGGUCCAA
Molecule: ribosomal RNA, 243 nt
Filed under: uncultured bacterium
Lineage: Bacteria
Description: partial 16S ribosomal RNA
Rfam family: Bacterial small subunit ribosomal RNA
Source: RNAcentral